UACGGGGGGAGCAAGCGUUGUUCGGAUUUACUGGGCGUAAAGGGCGUGUAGGCGGCCACCGCAAGUCGACUGUGAAAUCUCCGGGCUUAACUCGGAAAGGUCAGCCGAUACUGCGGGGCUAGAGUGCAGAAGGGGCAACUGGAAUUCUCGGUGUAGCGGUGAAAUGCGUAGAUAUCGAGAGGAACACCUGCGGCGAAGGCGGGUUGCCGGGCUGACACUGACGCUGAAACGCGAAAGCUAGGGGAGCGAACGGG
RNAcentral lists this ribosomal RNA (254 nucleotides) under uncultured bacterium. RNAcentral describes it as "partial 16S ribosomal RNA". It matches the Rfam family "Bacterial small subunit ribosomal RNA", at positions 524 to 776 of the family's 1533-position model. The record is from RNAcentral.